AUACCUGUUCGAGCGUCAUUACACCCCUCAAAGAUAACUCUUUGGCGUUGGGCAACUGACGUAAGUAUGCCUCAAAAUCAGCGAUGGUGAUAUUCAACCACAGGCGCACAAAUGUCGUCUAGCUGGCGGGAUGUUGUCAGUCAAUUGAUGAAUUUCUAAAUGUUGACCUCGGAUCAGGUAGGAAUACCCGCUGAACUUAA
This 200-nucleotide unclassified non-coding RNA is filed under the name soil metagenome. RNAcentral's name for it is "partial contains internal transcribed spacer 2 and large subunit ribosomal RNA". The record is from RNAcentral.